UACAGAGGCCUCGAGCGUUCGGCGGAAUCACUGGGCUUACAGCGUGUGUAGGCGGACUUCUAAGUACCUUGUGAAAUCCCACGGCUUACCCGUGGAACUGCUCGGUAUACUGGUUGUCUUGAGCCAUCUAGGGGCUACCGGAACAAAUGGUGGAGCGGUGAAAUGCGUAGAUAUCAUGUGGAACGGCAAUGGUGAAAACAGGUAGCUGGGGAUGUGCUGACGCUGAGGCGCGAAAGCGUGGGGAGCAAACGGG
RNAcentral lists this ribosomal RNA (253 nucleotides) under uncultured bacterium. Its description in RNAcentral is "partial 16S ribosomal RNA". It matches the Rfam family "Bacterial small subunit ribosomal RNA", at positions 524 to 776 of the family's 1533-position model. The record is from RNAcentral.